AUGAGUGUGAUGCUAGGCUGUGAGGGACCAUGGAAGAAGCCACACUCUGAAUUUCUCUUAUCUCUCUUCUAUAAGAUGAAGCCAGCAUUUGCAGCUCUUCUACUUGUGUGUCUUAUUCUCUCCUCAUCUAUGUUUGAAAUCACAGCACUUGGUGUUGGUGCAGGUAGUUUCUGCUCGGCAAAAUGCAGACAGAGGUGCUCGAAAGCUGGGAGGAGAGACAUGUGCUUGAAUUUCUGUGGAAUUUGUUGCAGUAAGUUUGAUCAGUUUUUAUCAGAAUGGGAAUAA
Non-coding RNA from Vicia faba (fava bean), 285 nucleotides. NCBI's taxonomy places the organism in Eukaryota, Viridiplantae, Streptophyta, Magnoliopsida, Fabales, Fabaceae. The record is from the annotation of a GenBank genome assembly.